GCUUCUGAUGAGGUAAUUUGCGAUUGAUUCUAUUUUGAUGGCGCUCUCGCCGGAGCUGCUAUAUCAAGUAGAAAACUGAUAGUUAAUUUCUUACAUAUUCUGACU
This 105-nucleotide small nucleolar RNA is filed under the name Rosellinia necatrix. RNAcentral describes it as "A. fumigatus snoRNA Afu_514". It matches the Rfam family "A. fumigatus snoRNA Afu_514". Lineage: Eukaryota; Fungi; Ascomycota; Sordariomycetes; Xylariales; Xylariaceae. The record is from Rfam by way of RNAcentral.